RNAcentral lists this ribosomal RNA (754 nucleotides) under uncultured bacterium. RNAcentral describes it as "bacterial SSU rRNA". It matches the Rfam family "Bacterial small subunit ribosomal RNA", at positions 61 to 795 of the family's 1533-position model. The record is from RNAcentral.
GUCGGACGCGAAAGUUUCCUUCGGGAACAAGUAGAGUGGCGUCCGGGUGAGUAACACGUAGGUAAUCUACCUUUGGGUGGGGAAUAACAACCGGAAACGGUUGCUAAUACCGCAUAAUGCAGCGGCAUCACAUGAUGACAGUUGUUAAAGCGGGGGAUCGCAAGACCUCGCGCCUAAAGAGGAGCCUGUGGCGGAUUAGCUAGUUGGCAGGGUAACGGCCUACCAAGGCAACGAUCCGUAGCCGGCCUGAGAGGGCGGUCGGCCACACUGACACUGAAAUACGGGUCAGACUCCUACGGGAGGCAGCAGUCGGGAAUUUUGGGCAAUGGGCGAAAGCCUGACCCAGCAACGCCGCGUGAAGGAUGAAAUCCCUCGGGAUGUAAACUUCGCAAGAACAGGAAGAAUAAGCUCGUGUUAAUAGCACGAGUGAUGACGGUACUGUUUGUAAGCUCCGGCUAACUCCGUGCCAGCAGCCGCGGUAAUACGGGGGGAGCAAGCGUUGUUCGGAUUUACUGGGCGUAAAGGGCGCGUAGGCGGUCGUGACAAGUCACUUGUGAAAUCUCCGGGCUUAACUCGGAACGGUCAAGUGAUACUGUCGGACUAAAGUACAGAAGGGGCAACUGGAAUUCUCGGUGUAGCGGUGAAAUGCGUAGAUAUCGAGAGGAACACUGCGGCGAAGGCGGGUUGCUGGGCUGAUACUGACGCUGAGGCGCGAAAGCCAGGGGAGCGAACGGGAUUAGAUACCCCGGUAGUC